RNAcentral lists this ribosomal RNA (427 nucleotides) under uncultured bacterium. RNAcentral's name for it is "bacterial SSU rRNA". It matches the Rfam family "Bacterial small subunit ribosomal RNA", at positions 356 to 775 of the family's 1533-position model. The record is from RNAcentral.
GAGGAAUAUUGGGCAAUGCCCGCAAGGGUGACCCAGCAACGCCGCGUGGAGGAUGAAAGCCGUAAGGUUGUAAACUCCUGUGAGAGGGGACGAAUGAUUACGUUUCGUAAGGAACGUGAAGUGACUGUACCCUCAGAGGAAGCCCCGGCUAACUACGUGCCAGCAGCCGCGGUAAUACGUAGGGGGCAAGCGUUGUCCGGAUUUACUAGGUGUAAAGGGCGCGUAGGCGGGUUGAUAAGUUAGAGGUGAAAUCCUGCGGCUUAACCGCAGAACUGCCCCUAAUACUGUCAAUCUUGAGUUCAGAAGAGAGAAGCGGAAUUCCAGGUGUAGUGGUGAAAUACGUAGAUAUCUGGAAGAACACCAGUUGCGAAGGCGGCUUCUUGGUCUGACACUGACGCUGAGGCGCGAAAGCGUGGGGAGCAAACAG